AUGAGCCCCCGCUCCGCUCCGCUCCCCUCCCAGCCCUCCCGCCGCCGUCCAGCCCUCGCUGGCGGCCCUCCCCUCCCAGCCCUCUGCCCCAGCCAUGCCCUCCUCCCGGCGCUAUGGCCUCUAGCAACGCCGACGGGGGCGCGCGCCACCGACACCGACUCCUCCGGUCGGCGCUCCUACCGCGACGUGGCCUGCAGCUCCACCCCUGCACUGCCGCUCCUCCAGCUACAGUCCGCCCAAGCCCCGGCCCAGCGCGUGCCCGCCUCCUCCCGCCUCGGCCCCCGCUUGGAGGUCCACCGCGUCGAGCGCGUGGAGGCGGAGGCGCCGGACGAGGGCGGCGCCUGGCUGCGACCGAGGGGCAGGGGUCGGCGCCGCCGCACCCAACGCACUGAGGCUCCCGCGCCUCGCUCUCGCUGCAGUCCCACGCCAGAGGAAGAGGCCGGCCUCUGCUUCCGCUGCCUCUACCCGGGCCACCACGUCCGUGACUGCAUGAACAAGGAUACCGAAUCAACAUUUACCGCAAAGUAUGAUGUCGUGUUAGAUACAAUAGGAAUAGCUGAAACUAAAAGAAUUGAUAUCAUUCUUCUGUGA
Molecule: ribosomal RNA, 591 nt
Filed under: Triticum aestivum (bread wheat)
Lineage: Eukaryota; Viridiplantae; Streptophyta; Magnoliopsida; Poales; Poaceae
Description: partial small subunit ribosomal RNA
Source: RNAcentral